RNAcentral lists this long non-coding RNA (2028 nucleotides) under Nicotiana benthamiana. Its description in RNAcentral is "long non-coding RNA (NBEN_LNC016408)". Lineage: Eukaryota; Viridiplantae; Streptophyta; Magnoliopsida; Solanales; Solanaceae. The record is from RNAcentral.
AUCUUUGGUAUUCAAGCUUACUGGGCUCAGAUGUUUAUCUUCCCAGUAAAAGUUCUUAAAAUGAUUGAAAGUAUCUGGAGGAGCUUCAUUUGGUUUUGGAUGAAUGCUGUCACUAAGACAGCAUACAUCUCCUGGGACAGAAUGUGCACCCCAAAGUCAGUAGGGGGAAUGAACCUAACCAACCUCAAACUGUGGAACAAGGCUGCCAUUGCAAAGACCUGUUGGGACAUAGCACAUGCCAGACCGAAAGCAGUUUUCAACCUGUGGCUAGCCCUACAGGACAGACUACCAACCAGGGAUAGACUAAAUAGCUGGGGAAUAGGAAUUGAGCAGCACUGCCCUCUAUGCCAAACCCAAUCUGAAACAAGAGAUCAUCUCCUCACGGAAUGCCCUGUCACUGUGGAUCUAUGGGGAAGAACAAGCUAAGUGACCAUCUGGUCUAAAUAAAACUCACUUUAUUCAAUUUAUUUGUCUUUUUUAUUACUCCGUCCCUAAAAUAUAAUAUAAUGAAUUGGCUACAGGAACAAUGCACACCUAGUGGCAGUUGGAACCAGAAGAUGCAAUGGUUGAUUGCCAAAGCCAAGGGACGAAAAUGUCGUGCAGCCAUUUUCAAAAUGGUUGCAGCUGAAGUUGCAUAUGCUAUCUGGCUGGAAAGGAAUGCAAGAGUUUUCAACAAGACCUUUCGAUGUAAUACUGCUAUACCGAGAGACAUAGUGUACAACUAUAAUGUUAGAGGCACCCCUAUAAUUAGACAACUAUUACAACACCUUAGUAUAUAGUAGAAGCUAGAUAGUUAGGACAGUAAAUGUAGUUAUUAUGUUAGCAUUUUGACAGUCAGCUAAGAUGAAGCUCGACUGUGGUUUUGUAAUGCAACUUCAUUGGUGAUUAAUGAAAAAGCUUAAUUACCAAAAAAAAAGAAGAGAAAUACAUGUAAGACAACAUGCUAACAAAUAGAGGACACCAAUAAAAUGACAGCAUGAGACAAUAUAACAAAUUGCGGUCAACAAACUUCUUCAUCACAACGUUCAUUAAUGUCACUCAGCAGACACAAGGAUGAUAUAAUUAAAUCAAUUUAAGAUGACUAAGUGACGCCAAUCACUGGAAACAUAAAAGGACUAACCAUGACAGCACACAAGAUAUGCAAGAACAAGUUUGAACUAAAUAUAGCUUAGAAUUACAAGCUCAUAAAUUAAGGAAAGCUAGUACUGAACUUGUAGUAACAAGCUCAUAAGGUAAGGACAUUUGGUCCUGAACUUUUUGAGCAGAAGGUUAUUUUAAACAAAGCUUCAAUUUCAAAUCAACAAAAAAAAAAGCAGGGGAGAUUAUAAUAACCUGAGAUUGGCUCUCCAAUAAGAUAAUUUCAACGAUUAACAACACUGAGUCGAGAAAAAUUGAGCGAAUCCGGAAUGGAGACAUUCAAUAGGAUCUUCAAACAAAGACAACGAUCCACGACCGGAGACAUGAGGGGCAACUCCAAAAUUUGAACACCUCCUCGGCUUUACUCCAUUUCGAACAAAAUCCAGAAGAAGCAAUUGUUUUUUUGUUUUGUUAUUUUUUUCAAUUUUUUGUCCAGCUACCGUCGAAAGUCCUUUUAUCUAACAUGUGCAUGCACGUGUGUAUUUGUGUGUGGUCGCCGGUUCUGCUGUAGUGAAGCCUACAGUGUUGUCGCGACUAUCUUUGUGUGCGUAGCGAUGGAUGGAUGGUUGUGGCUGUUGGUAUUCCGAUGAGUUUGAUGGUGUCCAGGUAGGGGGCGACGUUGGUCUUCUAGGGUUCAGAUGUGUUCUAUUGUGAGUUUUUGAAGAAGAAGGGUUAUCUAUGGUGUUUUGGUGAGGAAGAUUGCUAGGUUAUUGUUAUUAUCUAGUCAGUUGAAGAAGAUGAAGGUCUUCUCCAUGUGAAAUACGGCUGAUACCCCCUCUAGGUCUAGGGUUUUUUUGUGUUAUCUUUUGUUCAAGGAAGAAGAAGGAUAGCUGAAGGGCCAUUUAGGUCUAGGUUUUGGGCUUCAUAUUUGGGCUAAAAAUUGAAUUGAGC